AUAUCAUUAUAGAUUUCCAUCCCAUGUAUAUAGACUAUAUCUCCCAUAUACAUUCUAUCUUCAUAUAACGUUUUAAAGUCAUAACUUUAACGAAGAAGAAUUCUUUUCAUUUCCAAAAUUAAUAUAUCAAAUAUAUAUUUAAAUUUUAGGAACAUGAUUAAUUCCCACUAAUCUUUUGUAAACCUAGUAAACAAAAGAUUCAUUUACAUCUUUAUGAGAAAUCAAACGAUUUGAUCCUUUUCUCAUAAGAUGCUCAUAGCUCCCACUAGCUUGCUUACAUUCAUGAUGGAUGGAUCUCUACAACUUACAUGUCUUGUGAUUCAUAGUUUUAGACAUAUAUUAUUAAGACUAUCUUAAUAAUGGUUUCGGAAACCUAUAUUAUGUCCAAACAUUGAAUCACCAUUUAGUUGUAGCUAGCUAUCCUCGAAUUAAUUGAAACCAAGACUACGUCAAAGAUGGUUUCUUCAAAGUCAACCAUUCCUUUUAUUGUAGUUACCUUAAGCUACCAAUUAGCUUAU
Molecule: long non-coding RNA, 518 nt
Filed under: Malus domestica (apple)
Lineage: Eukaryota; Viridiplantae; Streptophyta; Magnoliopsida; Rosales; Rosaceae
Description: long non-coding RNA (MDOM_LNC020120)
Source: RNAcentral